UACGUAGGGGGCGAGCGUUAUCCGGAAUUAUUGGGCGUAAAGAGUACGUAGGUGGUUUUGUAAGCGCAAGGUGAAAGCCCGGGGCUUAACUCCGGCGAGCCUUGUGAACUGCAAGACUUGAGUGCAGGAGGGGAAAGUGGAAUUCCUAGUGUAGCGGUGAAAUGCGUAGAUAUUAGGAGGAACACCGGUGGCGAAGGCGACUUUCUGGACUGUAACUGACACUGAGGUACGAAAGUGUGGGGAGC
Molecule: ribosomal RNA, 245 nt
Filed under: uncultured Anaerovorax sp.
Lineage: Bacteria; Bacillati; Bacillota; Clostridia; Peptostreptococcales; Anaerovoracaceae
Description: partial 16S ribosomal RNA
Rfam family: Bacterial small subunit ribosomal RNA
Source: RNAcentral